Molecule: ribosomal RNA, 451 nt
Filed under: uncultured bacterium
Lineage: Bacteria
Description: partial 16S ribosomal RNA
Rfam family: Bacterial small subunit ribosomal RNA
Source: RNAcentral
GUGGGGAAUAUUGGACAAUGGGGGGAACCCUGAUCCAGCCAUGCCGCGUGUGUGAAGAAGGCCUUUUGGUUGUAAAGCACUUUAAGCGAGGAGGAGGCUACCGAGAUUAAUACUCUUGGAUAGUGGACGUUACUCGCAGAAUAAGCACCGGCUAACUCUGUGCCAGCAGCCGCGGUAAUACAGAGGGUGCAAGCGUUAAUCGGAUUUACUGGGCGUAAAGCGCGCGUAGGUGGCCAAUUAAGUCAAAUGUGAAAUCCCCGAGCUUAACUUGGGAAUUGCAUUCGAUACUGGUUGGCUAGAGUAUGGGAGAGGAUGGUAGAAUUCCAGGUGUAGCGGUGAAAUGCGUAGAGAUCUGGAGGAAUACCGAUGGCGAAGGCAGCCAUCUGGCCUAAUACUGACACUGGGGUGCGAAAGCAUGGGGAGCAAACAGGAUUAGAUACCCCAGUAGUCC